This 429-nucleotide ribosomal RNA is filed under the name Gemmatimonadota bacterium. Its description in RNAcentral is "Gemmatimonadetes bacterium partial 16S ribosomal RNA". It matches the Rfam family "Bacterial small subunit ribosomal RNA", at positions 355 to 776 of the family's 1533-position model. The record is from RNAcentral. Lineage: Bacteria; Pseudomonadati; Gemmatimonadota.
UAGGGAAUCUUCGGCAAUGGACGAAAGUCUGACCGAGCAACGCCGCGGGAGUGAAGAAGGUUUUCGGAUCGUAAAACUCUGUUGUUAGAGAAGAACAAGGACGUUAGUAACUGAACGUCCCCUGACGGUAUCUAACCAGAAAGCCACGGCUAACUACGUGCCAGCAGCCGCGGUAAUACGUGGGUGGCAAGCGUUGUCCGGAUUUAUGGGGCGUAAAGCGAGCGCAGGCGGUUUCUUAAGUCUGAUGUGAAAGCCCCCGGCUCAACCGGGGAGGGUGAUUGGAAACUGGGGGACUGGAGUGCAGAAGAGGAGAGUGGAAUUCCAUGUGUAGCGGUGAAAUGCGUAGAUAUAUGGAGGAACACCAGUGGCGAAGGCGGCUCUCGGGUCUGUAACUGACGCUGAGGCUCGAAAGCGUGGGGAGCAAACAGG